CGCGGCCUAUCAGCUUGUUGGUGAGGUAAAGGCUCACCAAGGCAUUGACGGGUAGCUGGUCUGAGAGGACGAUCAGCCACACUGGGACUGAGACACGGCCCAGACUCCUGCGGGAGGCAGCAGUGGGGAAUCUUGCGCAAUGGGCGAAAGCCUAACGCAGCAACGCCGCGUGGGGGAUGAAGGCUCUCGGGUUGUAAACCCCUUUCAGCAGGGACGAAAUUGACGGUACCUGUAGAAGAAGCCCCGGCCAACUACGUGCCAGCAGCCGCGGUAACACGUAGGGGGCGAGCGUUGUCCGGAAUUAUUGGGCGUAAAGGGCUCGUAGGCGGUUCGGUAAGUCAGAUGUGAAAGGUUGGGGCUCAACCCUAAGACUGCAUUUGAUACUGCCGUGACUAGAGUCCGGUAGAGGAGUGUGGAAUUCCUGGUGUAGCGGUGAAAUGCGCAGAUAUCAGGAGGAACACCGACGGCGAAGGCAGCACUCUGGGCCGGUACUGACGCUGAGGAGCGAAAGCGUGGGUAGCAAACAGGAUUAGAUACCCUGGUAGUCCACGCCGUAAACGUUGGGCACUAGGUGUGGGACCUUAUCAACGGGUUCCGUGCCGUAGCUAACGCAUUAAGUGCCCCGCCUGGGGAGUACGG
RNAcentral lists this ribosomal RNA (639 nucleotides) under uncultured bacterium. RNAcentral's name for it is "bacterial SSU rRNA". It matches the Rfam family "Bacterial small subunit ribosomal RNA", at positions 232 to 885 of the family's 1533-position model. The record is from RNAcentral.